This 437-nucleotide ribosomal RNA is filed under the name uncultured soil bacterium. RNAcentral's name for it is "bacterial SSU rRNA". It matches the Rfam family "Bacterial small subunit ribosomal RNA", at positions 26 to 456 of the family's 1533-position model. The record is from RNAcentral.
AGGACGAACGCUGGCGGCGUGCUUAACACAUGCAAGUCGAGCGGUAAGGCCUUUCGGGGUACACGAGCGGCGAACAGGUGAGUAACACGUGGGUGAUCUGCCCUGCACUCUGGGAUAAGCCUGGGAAACUGGGUCUAAUACCGGAUAUGACCUGCUCUCGCAGUGGGGGUGGUGGAAAGAUUUAUCGGUGCAGGAUGGGCCCGCGGCCUAUCAGCUUGUUGGUGGGUAAUGGCCUACCAAGGCGACGACGGGUAGCCGACCUGAGAGGGUGACCGGCCACGACGUGGGACUGAGACACGGCCCAGACUCCGUACGGGAGGCAGCAGUGGGAAUAUGCACAAGUGGGCGAAAGCCUGAUGCAGCCGACGCCGCGUGAGGGAUGGAACGGCCGUUUCGGGUUUCGUAAACCCGUUCGUUUUACCGAGGCGAAGGGACCG